Mytilus californianus (California mussel) is the source of this 513-nucleotide long non-coding RNA. RefSeq lists it as uncharacterized. The transcript has 3 exons. The record is from RefSeq and is a predicted model, not a curated record. Lineage: Eukaryota; Metazoa; Mollusca; Bivalvia; Mytilida; Mytilidae.
UCACUAAUUCCAUAUUGUAGAUAAAUAUAACACGAUAAUCGCUAGGUGAAUGUCGAUUUGUUCGUUUACUAAUCACUAAUUCCAUAUUGUAGAUAAAUAUGACACGAUAGUCACUAGGUGAAUGUCGAUUUGUUCGUUUACUUAUCACUAUAUCCAUAUUGUAGAUAGAUAUAACACGAUAAUCGAUAGGUGAAUGUCGAUUUGUUUGUUUACUAAUCACUAAUUCCAUAUUGUAGAUAAAUAUAACACGAUAAUCGCUAGGUGAAUGUCGAUUUGUUUGUUUACUAAUCACUAAUUCCAUAUUGUAGGUAGAUAUAAUGUCACCAACACUAGGUGAAGGUAAGUUUAGAAAUCGCGCAUUUCAAGUGACUGUAUUUUUUAUUUCAUAUUAUUUUAUGACUACUCCAGAUAGAUAUGCAUUGUAAAUAAACUCAUCAUAGAUACCAGGCUUAAAAUUUUUGAACUUUCACCUGAGCACCAAUGAGGUUUAGGCACCAUCUUGGAUCUGAUCUU